This 467-nucleotide ribosomal RNA is filed under the name uncultured Desulfobulbus sp. Its description in RNAcentral is "bacterial SSU rRNA". It matches the Rfam family "Bacterial small subunit ribosomal RNA", at positions 920 to 1382 of the family's 1533-position model. Lineage: Bacteria; Pseudomonadati; Thermodesulfobacteriota; Desulfobulbia; Desulfobulbales; Desulfobulbaceae. The record is from RNAcentral.
CCCGCACAAGCGGUGGAGUAUGUGGUUUAAUUCGAUGCAACGCGAAGAACCUUACCUGGUCUUGACAUCCCGGAGACCCUUAGGAAACUAGGGGUGCUUCCAUCUGGAAGAAUCUGGAGACAGGUGCUGCAUGGCUGUCGUCAGCUCGUGUCGUGAGAUGUUGGGUUAAGUCCCGCAACGAGCGCAACCCUUGCCUUUAGUUGCCAGCAGUUCGGCUGGGCACUCUAAAGGGACUGCCGGUGUUAAACCGGAGGAAGGUGGGGAUGACGUCAAGUCCUCAUGGCCUUUACGACCAGGGCUACACACGUACUACAAUGGCCGAUACAAAGGGCAGCGACACUGCGAGGUGAAGCCAAUCCCGUAAAAUCGGUCUCAGUCCGGAUUGGAGUCUGCAACUCGACUCCAUGAAGUUGGAAUCGCUAGUAAUCGUGGAUCAGCAUGCCACGGUGAAUACGUUCCCGGGCCUU